GCGGGUAUGGUUCAGUGGUAGAACGCGAGCUUCCCAAGCUUGAGGCGGCGGUCCGAUUCCGCUUACCCGCUCCA
RNAcentral lists this transfer RNA (74 nucleotides) under bacterium. RNAcentral's name for it is "tRNA-Gly". It matches the Rfam family "tRNA". Rfam says of the family: Transfer RNA (tRNA) molecules are approximately 80 nucleotides in length. Their secondary structure includes four short double-helical elements and three loops (D, anti-codon, and T loops). The record is from RNAcentral.